UAGCAUAUCAAUAAGCGGAGGAAAAGAAACUAACAAGGAUUCCCCUAGUAACUGCGAGUGAAGCGGGAAAAGCUCAAAUUUGAAAUCUGGCAGUCUUUGAUUGUCCGAGUUGUAAUCUAGAGAAGUGUUACCCGCGUUGGACCGUGUAUAAGUCUCCUGGAAUGGAGCGUCAUAGAGGGUGAGAAUCCCGUCUUUAACACGGACUCCCAAGGCUUUGUGGUGCGCUCUCAAAGAGUCGAGUUGUUUGGGAAUGCAGCUCAAAAUGGGUGGUAAAUGCCAUCUAAAGCUAAAUACAGGCGAGAGACCGAUAGCGAACAAGUACCGUGAGGGAAAGAUGAAAAGAACUUUGGAAAGAGAGUUAAACAGUACGUGAAAUUGCUGAAAGGGAAACGCUUGAAGUCAGUCGCGUUGGCUGGGAAUCAACCUGGCUUUUGCUUUGGUGUACUUUCCAGUCGACGGGUCAACAUCAAUUUUGACCAGUGGAUAAGGUCUGAGGGAAUGUGGCAUCUUCGGAUGUGUUAUAGCCCUUGGUCACAUACAUUGGUUGGGAUUGAGGAACUCAGCACGCCGCAAUGGCCGGGUCUCGACCACGUUCGUGCUUAGGAUGUUGGCAAAAUGGCUUUAAUCGACCCGUCUUGAAACACGGACCAAGGAGUCUAACAUGCCUGCGAGUGUUUGGGUGGAAAACCCGAGCGCGUAAUGAAAGUGAAAGUUGAGAUCCCUGUCGUGGGGAGCAUCGACGCCCGGACCAGACCUUUUGUGACGGAUCCGCGGUAGAGCAUGUAUGUUGGGACCCGAAAGAUGGUGAACUAUGCCUGAAUAGGGCGAAGCCAGAGGAAACUCUGGUGGAGGCUCGUAGCGAUUCUGACGUGCAAAUCGAUCGUCAAAUUUGGGUAUAGGGGCGAAAGACUAAUCGA
This 917-nucleotide ribosomal RNA is filed under the name Crepidotus sp. 1 KA-2022. RNAcentral describes it as "partial large subunit ribosomal RNA". It matches the Rfam family "Eukaryotic large subunit ribosomal RNA", at positions 36 to 938 of the family's 3401-position model. The record is from RNAcentral. Lineage: Eukaryota; Fungi; Basidiomycota; Agaricomycetes; Agaricales; Crepidotaceae.